AUUGAACGCUGGCGGCAUGCCUUACACAUGCAAGUCGAACGGCAGCACGGGUGCUUGCACCUGGUGGCGAGUGGCGAACGGGUGAGUAAUACAUCGGAACAUGUCCUGUAGUGGGGGAUAGCCCGGCGAAAGCCGGAUUAAUACCGCAUACGAUCUACGGAUGAAAGCGGGGGCCCUUCGGGCCUCGCGCUAUAGGGUUGGCCGAUGGCUGAUUAGCUAGUUGGUGGGGUAAAGGCCUACCAAGGCGACGAUCAGUAGCUGGUCUGAGAGGACGACCAGCCACACGGGGACUGAGACACGGCCCAGACUCCUACGGGAGGCAGCAGUGGGGAAUUUUGGACAAUGGGCGAAAGCCUGAUCCAGCAAUGCCGCGUGUGUGAAGAAGGCCUUCGGGUUGUAAAGCACUUUUGUCCGGAAAGAAAUCCUUGGCCCUAAUACGGUCGGGGGAUGACGGUACCGGAAGAAUAAGCACCGGCUAACUACGUG
This 486-nucleotide ribosomal RNA is filed under the name uncultured bacterium. RNAcentral describes it as "partial 16S ribosomal RNA". It matches the Rfam family "Bacterial small subunit ribosomal RNA", at positions 30 to 507 of the family's 1533-position model. The record is from RNAcentral.